This is a long non-coding RNA of Salvia splendens (bonfire salvia), 1669 nucleotides long. RefSeq lists it as uncharacterized. NCBI's taxonomy places the organism in Eukaryota, Viridiplantae, Streptophyta, Magnoliopsida, Lamiales, Lamiaceae. The transcript has 3 exons. The record is from RefSeq and is a predicted model, not a curated record.
AAUGUAGAAGGACUUUACAAAAUGUUAUAGUACAUAAAGAUACGUUACAAAUCAAGAACGAUGGUAGAUUUAUUAUUAUAACUGAUCCCAAGCACUGAAAUGCAAAGUCUAGAAGAACAAAAUCGUCUGCAAACUCAUCUUGGAUGUCAUACGAAAAUAUUUUGAGUUCAACAUAUUUUGUUUCUAAAACCGCAUAUUUUCCUUUUGUGGUUAACUGUUUCUUCCAUUGCACUUUAUCUUUGUAGCUUCAUUUCUUGUUCAUGGAUAUCAGCUGUUUUGUGUAUUCCAAAAGCAUUUUUUUGUUGAUGAAACAUCCAAAUCUGCAGCCCUUGGUUCUACAUAAGAUUUCUUAGAUGUUCAUGCUCUUAAGAUCUUCACUUGAAUUAUGGAAUUCUCAGUUGUGUUUUGACAUUUGUUGCUAAGGAAGUGGUUUGGAGUUAUUGCUGCCAUAAGGUAUAUUUCUACUAAAAAUUAUGAUCAAUUUCUAAUUCACUGGUUGUGGAAAGAUCAAGGAGUGGACUGUAAAUUAUUUUGCUUCUUUAUUUGAUCUUUAUAUGAAUCUUGUAGUUUGGUUUAUGCAUGUGAGGUCUAAAAUUGUGAUAUUUAAUUCUUUGGCUCAGGAUUUCUUCCACAAAUUUUGCUUAUAGGUCACUGUAGUGAACUGCAUUUACCAGUUCCUGAUCAAGUAGGCAAUCCAGAUCCCCUUGCUCCUUAAAAUUAUGCAUCUUGGAUGUUAUACGAAAAUUUGGGAGGGUGAAAUGCACUUCCUCCUAAUGAAUAUUAGACAGUAGACUAUUCUUUAUUACUUUCUUGUGUGUAUGGGAUUGUUUUUUGCUAGACUUUUCAAUGAAUAUGAACACAAUUUGGUUUUUAUACAGCUUGUCAUGUGGAUUUUUAGCGUAUUGUUUUGUAACUUGCAAUAUUUCAGAUGGAAACACAAAGCAAUUCUGCUUCAGAACUCAAUCAUGAGUAUGAAAUUCAAUUUAACAGUGAAGAUGAUCGUAUAAUUCAAAGUACUGAUGGGAGCACUCGAGUAAAGAAAUGGAGGACUUAUAAAGCAAAGCGAUGGGAAGACGGAACAAGAGGUUGCACUUAAACCGCCAAAAGGAAUACCUUCCCAGCAAUGGAUUGAUCUUCUUGGAUAAAGGAAAGGAGAAAGCAACUGCCAUGAUGGCAGAGAGAAGUAGAAAAAGAAGUAUACAAUGAACUUGUUCCUCCAGAUCGAUAUGGUCGUGUAGUCGGUUAUGGACUUGGAGUUAGUGCAAGGAUGGUACAUGGAACCAAAAAUUAUGCAGGAGUGAUUAAAGAUGCAAAAAUGGAAGAGCUUGUGCAAGCUCGUGUGGAGAAAGAUAGAGUCACAGUUUGAAGAAAAGUUGAAACAGGAAAGGUCAAACAUGGAGAUUCAUUACUUCAGUAUUGGCGGGGCAGGCAUUAAUGGAGGAACGAGAGAUUGUAGAAAAGUAGAAGAUUUUGAUGAUCGGAAGUAUUGAGACAUUAGAAGAAUAAAAUGGCAUUGGCAUUGGCAUUGGCAUUGUUAUGAGAGACAAAAAUGGGAUACAAUUGAUAUCCUUACAGCUGAGGGACGAACUUCACCAAAGGCCGUGUACAGAGAAUGUUUUCCAUCCCCUGCAAUAGUUUCAAGUAACUUGAAAAUGAGUUGAACUGUAAA